Molecule: non-coding RNA, 124 nt
Organism: Pelobates cultripes (western spadefoot toad)
Lineage: Eukaryota; Metazoa; Chordata; Amphibia; Anura; Pelobatidae
Source: the annotation of a GenBank genome assembly
UUUGUAUUUGGGAGGAGUGCCAAGCAUUUUGUAAUUGGUAUGUAUGUAUGUGUGUGUGUGUAUGUAUGUAUAUAUACACAUACAUACCUAAUUACAAAAUGCUUGCACUCCUCCCAAAUACAAA